GCCUUCGUGAUGUAAUGGGCAGCAUGCUCGGCUCGCAUUCGAGAGGCCCGAGGUUCGAGUCGCGGCGAGUGCA
Molecule: transfer RNA, 73 nt
Filed under: Stegodyphus mimosarum
Lineage: Eukaryota; Metazoa; Arthropoda; Arachnida; Araneae; Eresidae
Rfam family: tRNA
About the family: Transfer RNA (tRNA) molecules are approximately 80 nucleotides in length. Their secondary structure includes four short double-helical elements and three loops (D, anti-codon, and T loops).
Source: Rfam by way of RNAcentral